CAUGCAAGUCGAGCGGGCGCAGCAAUGCGUCAGCGGCAGACGGGUGAGUAACGCGUGGGAACGUACCUUUUGGUUCGGAACAACACAGGGAAACUUGUGCUAAUACCGGAUAAGCCCUUACGGGGAAAGAUUUAUCGCCGAAAGAUCGGCCCGCGUCUGAUUAGCUAGUUGGUGGGGUAACGGCCCACCAAGGCGACGAUCAGUAGCUGGUCUGAGAGGAUGAUCAGCCACAUUGGGACUGAGACACGGCCCAAACUCCUACGGGAGGCAGCAGUGGGGAAUAUUGGACAAUGGGCGCAAGCCUGAUCCAGCCAUGCCGCGUGAGUGAUGAAGGCCCUAGGGUUGUAAAGCUCUUUUGUGCGGGAAGAUAAUGACGGUACCGCAAGAAUAAGCCCCGGCUAACUUCGUGCCAGCAGCCGCGGUAAUACGAAGGGGGCUAGCGUUGCUCGGAAUCACUGGGCGUAAAGGGUGCGUAGGCGGGUCUUUAAGUCAGGGGUGAAAUCCUGGAGCUCAACUC
Molecule: ribosomal RNA, 517 nt
Filed under: uncultured bacterium
Lineage: Bacteria
Description: bacterial SSU rRNA
Rfam family: Bacterial small subunit ribosomal RNA
Source: RNAcentral